GAGCGAACGGGGAGCAGCCCAGAGCCUGAAUCAGUGUGUGUGUUAGUGGAAGCGUCUGGAAAGGCGCGCGAUACAGGGUGACAGCCCCGUACACAAAAAUGCACAUGCUGUGAGCUCGAUGAGUAGGGCGGGACACGUGGUAUCCUGUCUGAAUAUGGGGGGACCAUCCUCCAAGGCUAAAUACUCCUGACUGACCGAUAGUGAACCAGUACCGUGAGGGAAAGGCGAAAAGAACCCCGGCGAGGGGAGUGAAAAAGAACCUGAAACCGUGUACGUACAAGCAGUGGGAGCACAGAGCAAUCUGUGUGACUGCGUACCUUUUGUAUAAUGGGUCAGCGACUUAUAUUCUGUAGCAAGGUUAACCGAAUAGGGGAGCCGAAGGGAAACCGAGUCUUAACUGGGCGUUAAGUUGCAGGGUAUAGACCCGAAACCCGGUGAUCUAGCCAUGGGCAGGUUGAAGGUUGGGUAACACUAACUGGAGGACCGAACCGACUAAUGUUGAAAAAUUAGCGGAUGACUUGUGGCUGGGGGUGAAAGGCCAAUCAAACCGGGAGAUAGCUGGUUCUCCCCGAAAGCUAUUUAGGUAGCGCCUCGUGAAUUCAUCUCCGGGGGUAGAGCACUGUUUCGGCAAGGGGGUCAUCCCGA
This 645-nucleotide ribosomal RNA is filed under the name Escherichia coli. RNAcentral's name for it is "partial 23S ribosomal RNA". It matches the Rfam family "Bacterial large subunit ribosomal RNA", at positions 251 to 934 of the family's 2925-position model. The record is from RNAcentral. Lineage: Bacteria; Pseudomonadati; Pseudomonadota; Gammaproteobacteria; Enterobacterales; Enterobacteriaceae.